GACAAAUCUUUAUAAACUAUUUAAAUACUACAGAAUUAUAACACAGCCACUGUAGCUUAACAACCAUAGGCAGUGAUACUCCAUUCUGUCCUAGAAGCCAAUCCUCCCUCAGGUUUGGUAGGCAGCCCCCAGGGCAGGUUGUGGGAGCCCCACCCAUUAAAAUGGGACAUGAAGGGGACAGCAUACAGCAUGUGGCCAAAAGAUUGUUAUUAAACCCAGAUUCUUAAGUACAAGA
Molecule: non-coding RNA, 235 nt
Organism: Peromyscus maniculatus bairdii (prairie deer mouse)
Lineage: Eukaryota; Metazoa; Chordata; Mammalia; Rodentia; Cricetidae
Source: RefSeq, a predicted model, not a curated record